GGCAACCCUGACGGAGCAACGCCGCGUGGGGGAGGAAUGUCUGUGGAUUGUAAACCCCUUUUCUCAGGGAAGAAGUUCUGACGGUACCUGAGGAAUCAGCAUCGGCUAACUCCGUGCCAGCAGCCGCGGUAAGACGGAGGAUGCAAGCGUUAUCCGGAAUUAUUGGGCGUAAAGCGUCCGCAGGUGGUGAGUCAAGUCUGCUGUCAAAGCCAGGAGCUCAACUCCUGUCCGGCAGUGGAAACUGACCCACUCGAGGGUGGUAGGGGUAGAGGGAAUUCCCAGUGUAGCGGUGAAAUGCGUAGAGAUUGGGAAGAACACCGGUGGCGAAAGCGCUCUACUGGACCACACCUGACACUCAGAGGACGAAAGCUAGGGGAGCG
RNAcentral lists this ribosomal RNA (380 nucleotides) under uncultured cyanobacterium. RNAcentral's name for it is "bacterial SSU rRNA". It matches the Rfam family "Bacterial small subunit ribosomal RNA", at positions 376 to 770 of the family's 1533-position model. Lineage: Bacteria; Bacillati; Cyanobacteriota. The record is from RNAcentral.